Molecule: transfer RNA, 53 nt
Filed under: Arctotanais alascensis
Lineage: Eukaryota; Metazoa; Arthropoda; Malacostraca; Tanaidacea; Tanaididae
Description: tRNA-Cys
Source: RNAcentral
AGUUAAAUUAUCUAGGUUUGCAAAACCUUGCGUGGCUUACAAGCCUUUAACUU